CUACGUAGGGGGCGAGCGUUGUCCGGAAUGAUUGGGCGUAAAGGGCGCGAAGGCGGCGCGGUAAGUCUGGAGUGAAAGUCCUGCUUUCAAGGUGGGAAUUGCUUUGGAUACUGCCGCGCUUGAGUGCAGGAGAGGUUAUCGGAAUUCCCGGUGUAGCGGUGAAAUGCGUAGAGAUCGGGAGGAACACCAGUGGCGAAGGCGGGUAACUGGACUGCAACUGACGCUGAGGCGCGAAAGUGUGGGGAGCAAACAGGAUUAGAUACCCUGGUAGUCCACACUGUAAACGAUGAAUGCUAGGUGUAAGAGGUAUCGACCCCUUUUGUGCCGGAGUCAACACAAUAAGCAUUCCGCCUGGGGAGUACGGCCGCAAGGUUGAAACUCAAAUGAAUUGGCGGGG
Molecule: ribosomal RNA, 397 nt
Filed under: uncultured bacterium
Lineage: Bacteria
Description: partial 16S ribosomal RNA
Rfam family: Bacterial small subunit ribosomal RNA
Source: RNAcentral